CCUACGGGUGGCUGCAGUGGGGAAUAUUGCACAAUGGGCGCAAGCCUGAUGCAGCCAUGCCGCGUGUGUGAAGAAGGCCUUCGGGUUGUAAAGCACUUUCAGCGGGGAGGAAGGCGGUGAGGUUAAUAACCUCAUCGAUUGACGUUACCCGCAGAAGAAGCACCGGCUAACUCCGUGCCAGCAGCCGCGGUAAUACGGAGGGUGCAAGCGUUAAUCGGAAUUACUGGGCGUAAAGCGCACGCAGGCGGUCUGUCAAGUCGGAAGUGAAAUCCCCGGGCUCAACCUGGGAACUGCAUUCGAAACUGGCAGGCUAGAGUCUUGUAGAGGGGGGUAGAAUUCCAGGUGUAGCGGUGAAAUGCGUAGAGAUCUGGAGGAAUACCGGUGGCGAAGGCGGCCCCCUGGACAAAGACUGACGCUCAGGUGCGAAAGCGUGGGGAGCAAACAGGAUUAGAUACCCUAGUAGUC
This 465-nucleotide ribosomal RNA is filed under the name uncultured Klebsiella sp. RNAcentral's name for it is "bacterial SSU rRNA". It matches the Rfam family "Bacterial small subunit ribosomal RNA", at positions 338 to 795 of the family's 1533-position model. The record is from RNAcentral. Lineage: Bacteria; Pseudomonadati; Pseudomonadota; Gammaproteobacteria; Enterobacterales; Enterobacteriaceae.